CGAAGGAUCCUGGUGUAGCAAUACACCGGAAGAUUUAGUGGCGAACGGGUGAGGAUCACGUGAGAAACGUGCCCCAGACUCUGGGAUAACAAUUGGAAACGAUUGCUAAUACCGGAUGACGUCGGAGAAUCGCAUGAUUCACUGACGAAAGAUAUUUCGGUUUGGGAGCGUCUCGCGGCCUAUCAGCUUGUUGGUGGGGUAAUGGCCUACCAAGGCAACGACGGGUAGCUGGUCUGAGAGGAUGAUCAGCCACACUGGGACUGAGACACGGCCCAGACUCCUACGGGAGGCAGCAGUGGGGAAUCUUGCGCAAUGGGCGAAAGCCUGACGCAGCAACGCCGCGUGCGGGAUGAAGGCCUUCGGGCUGUAAACCGCUUUCAGCAGGAACGAAAAUGACGGUACCUGCAGAAGAAGGAGCGGCCAACUACGUGCCAGCAGCCGCGGUGACACGUAGGCUCCAAGCGUUGUCCGGAUUUAUUGGGCGUAAAGAGCUCGUAGGCGGUUGAGUAAGUCGGGUGUGAAAACUCUGGGCUUAACCCGGAGACGCCAUCCGAUACUGCUCUGACUAGAGUUCAGGAGGGGAGUGGGGAAUUCCUAGUGUAGCGGUGAAAUGCGCAGAUAUUAGGAGGAACACCGGUGGCGAAGGCGCCACUCUGGACUGAAACUGACGCUGAGGAGCGAAAGCAUGGGUAGCAAACAGGAUUAGAUACCCUGGUAGUCCAUGCCGUANACGGUGGGCACUAGGUGUGGGUUCCAACUAACGGGAUCCGCGCCGUCGCUAACGCAUUAAGUGCCCCGCCUGGGGAGUACGGUCGCAAGACUA
RNAcentral lists this ribosomal RNA (823 nucleotides) under uncultured bacterium. RNAcentral describes it as "SSU rRNA". It matches the Rfam family "Bacterial small subunit ribosomal RNA", at positions 63 to 896 of the family's 1533-position model. The record is from RNAcentral.